GACGAACGCUGGCGGCGUGCUUAACACAUGCAAGUCGAACGGAAAGGCCCCUUUGGGGGUACUCGAGUGGCGCACGGGUGAGUAACACGUGAGUAACCUGCCCUUGACUUCGGGAUAACUUCAGGAAACUGGGGCUAAUACCGGAUAGGAAUCCUUGCUGCAUGGUGGGGGUUGGAAAGCUUCGGCGGUUUUGGAUGGACUCGCGGCUUAUCAGCUUGUUGGUGGGGUAGUGGCUUACCAAGGCUUUGACGGGUAGCCGGCCUGAGAGGGCGACCGGCCACAUUGGGACUGAGAUACGGCCCAGACGCCUACGGGAGGCAGCAGUGGGGAAUAUUGCACAAUGGGCGGAAGCCGGAUGCAGCAACGCCGCGUGCGGGAUGACGGCCUUCGGGUUGUAAACCGCUUUCAGCAGGGGCGAAGCUUGUGGUGACGGUACCUGCAGAAGAAGCACCGGCUAACUACGUG
RNAcentral lists this ribosomal RNA (465 nucleotides) under uncultured bacterium. RNAcentral describes it as "partial 16S ribosomal RNA". It matches the Rfam family "Bacterial small subunit ribosomal RNA", at positions 28 to 507 of the family's 1533-position model. The record is from RNAcentral.